UUCUCAGCACAAAGGAGAUUUAUUUGCCC
This 29-nucleotide non-coding RNA is filed under the name Mus musculus (house mouse). Lineage: Eukaryota; Metazoa; Chordata; Mammalia; Rodentia; Muridae. The record is from RNAcentral.